UACGGAGGGUGCGAGCGUUGUCCGGAAUCACUGGGCGUAAAGCAGGUGCAGGCGGCCUGUUGUGUCGGGUGUGAAAUCCCGUGGCUCAACCACGGAACUGCGCCCGAAACUGAUGGGCUUGAGUGCGAGAGGGGAUGGUGGAAUUCUCGGUGUAGAGGUGAAAUUCGUAGAUAUCGAGAGGAAUACCGGUGGCGAAGGCGACCAUCUGGCUCGUUUCUGACGCUCAGACCUGAAAGCGUGGGUAGCAAACAGG
RNAcentral lists this ribosomal RNA (253 nucleotides) under uncultured bacterium. Its description in RNAcentral is "partial 16S ribosomal RNA". It matches the Rfam family "Bacterial small subunit ribosomal RNA", at positions 524 to 776 of the family's 1533-position model. The record is from RNAcentral.